Molecule: ribosomal RNA, 254 nt
Filed under: uncultured bacterium
Lineage: Bacteria
Description: partial 16S ribosomal RNA
Rfam family: Bacterial small subunit ribosomal RNA
Source: RNAcentral
GACGAACCGUGCGAACGUUAUUCGGAAUCACUGGGCUUAAAGCGCGUGUAGGCGGAUGGGAACGUCGGUAGUUGAAAGCCCCCGGCUCAACCGGGGAAGUGGUGCCGAAACGACCCGUCUGGAGGGACGUAGGGGGACCUGGAACUUCCGGUGGAGCGGUGAAAUGCGUUGAGAUCGGAAGGAACGCCCGUGGCGAAAGCAGUGUCCUGGCUGGUGACUGACGCUGAGGUGCGAAAGCUAGGGGAGCGAACGGG